This is a long non-coding RNA of Bubalus bubalis (water buffalo), 1774 nucleotides long. RefSeq lists it as uncharacterized. NCBI's taxonomy places the organism in Eukaryota, Metazoa, Chordata, Mammalia, Artiodactyla, Bovidae. The transcript is spliced from 2 exons. The record is from RefSeq and is a predicted model, not a curated record.
CCCACUCCAGUAUUCUUGCCUGGAGAAUCCCAGGGACAGAGGAACCUAGUGGGCUGCCGUCUAUGGGAUCACACAGAGUCGGACACGACUGAAGCGACUUAGCAGCAGCAGCAGCAGCAGGAAGAGAGACCCAGCUUGAGCACACGUGCAGAGGGGGAGGAAGGAAGAUGUAGCGAGCAGAAGAAAAAUGAGGUUAGAGAGGUACAAGGACAUGACCAGGCUUGUCUUACUUAGAAGAGCGUUAUCUUGUUUUUCUAAGUAUAGCAUACAUGCUAGAAAAGUAGGCAUAAGUGGAUUACUGUCCAACAGAUUUUACAAAUUCAGCAUACCAUGCUCUGAGAUCAAGAAGCAGGAGCACCCAUGGGUCCUGUUCGAGUCACUGUGUCCUGGAAGAGAACCCCUGCUGACUCUCGAGCUUGUAUCACUGGAAUUCUGCAGUGUCUGUCUUCUUUCCUUCAGACUUGGGUUUCUGAGACUCGCUCCAGAUGCUGCCUCUCGCUGUAGGGUGCUCACUCAUUGCUGAUUGGGCCUUUAUGUGACUUGUGUUCCCUGUACCUCUGGGUUUCUGCUGAGGAAUUCCCCCACGUCCUAGAAGAAAAGCUUAUUUCUUGUUUGAUCUUUUGAGGCCAUGCAAGACAUUUUUGUUCCCCUUUAGAGUGUGGAAAAAUAUACAGAAUUAAGUAAUAUUGGAUGGUUCAUCACUUCCUUAUACCCAUGAAUUCUUCCCCUUUUCAAGUUUUAAAUAUCUGGAAUUAAUGGUUCUGUUUCAUGUGAUGUGAUAUGAUUAAAGAGGAAAAAAUUGAUACAAAUAACACAUUUGAAAAGUCUGUUUUGAUGGAAUAGGACGUUGUGUUUUGAACAUGAAGUCUGCCUUUAAGAUGAGGUGUCAUUUUCAUAAUGAAAGGCUUACAUGUGUUGAGUUCAAAGCAGAAGCAGUUUUUCUGUUAUUCAUGUAGUGUUCCUUUUUCUCUAGUCCUUUCUCUCCCCUCAGCUUCUACUUUUAUAGUCUCUUCUAUCUUGUUCUCUGCCUCAUUUCUGCUUUUCACAAACAUCUUGUUUUCAUUUCCAAUCUAGACUCCAGCAACAAAAGAGGAAGCCAGAGUUGUGGUACUUUUUUUUUUUUUUUUCCCAGAUAGAGCUACCAAUCCUCUCUGUGCUUUGCUUGUCAUUUUCUGCAAUCAAGUCCUUAGUCACCCAGGAUUUGGUAUCUGGUUUUCUUGUUUAUUCUUCCUUUGGAGUGGCUCUGUCCAAUAGAAAUAUAACCCAAGCCAUAUAUAUAUAAUAUCAAAGUUUUGGUUUCCCAGUAAAAUUAAAACAAAACAAAACAGGACUAAACUAAACUUGUAUGCACCUAAUAAUACAGCUGCAAACUAUACAAAGUAAAAAGUGACAGAAUGACAAAAAAAAGUUGACAAAUGUGACAACAUAAUGAGAGAUUUUAGCAUAUCUAUUUCAGUAACUGAUGGAACAAACUAACAAAAAACCAAUAAGGGAUUGAUUUAAGAAGCAAAGCAAUUAAUAAGCUUGAUCAAACCAAUUAUAUAGAAAACAUAGUUCCAGCAAGUGAAGAGUAGUAUACUUUUACAAAAAUUGAACAUACACCAGGUCAUAAAGUAAGUUCUAACAUAUUUAAAAUAAUUAGUAUCAUAUUGACCAAGUUCUCUGAAUGAAAUGAAACUAAAUUAUGUAUCAGUUUUAAAAUAUAAUUUAAAAACAUAUUUGAAAAGUUAAAUUUGAAAGUAUUUAGAUUUGAAUGAUCAAGAAGUAAUAGCAA